Molecule: long non-coding RNA, 1172 nt
Filed under: Callithrix jacchus (white-tufted-ear marmoset)
Lineage: Eukaryota; Metazoa; Chordata; Mammalia; Primates; Cebidae
Description: lncRNA (ENSCJAG00000081112.1)
Source: RNAcentral
CACCUUGCCCCCGUCCCAGAUCUACCUGUGAUCCCAUGGAGCCUGAAUUAUCUCCACUUGCUCGAUUUGUUUAAUUUUUAAUGCUUUUGGUUUAACAUGAAGACAAAGCAAGUAAAAUAGGAAUAAAAUGCAGCCACUCCAUAUGUUAUUGCUUUCUGCUUCUAGGCCGAACCCUCAAAAGAACAAAGGCAGUGCGUCCUCAAAGAAAAUUCAGCAUCAAAAAAGUAAAAAGAAAUGUUCUCUCACCCAACACAUAUGUCUCCACUGCUAAGGUUUCCAUGUUUUUGUUUCAGUUUAUUUAACAUGCAUAUUCAGGAGACCCUAACUUUUUAAAUCAAGGUUCUUGGGGUUUUCCACAAUUACUUCUCUGCCAAGAGUCACGAAUUUCACAGAUCUCUCCUCAGAACAAAUUUAGCCACCUGUUCAAGUUUCAUUGAAUUUUUAUAUGUCACUGGAAAAUGACUUGUUUUCUUUUUCAAAGAAAUAAAGUCAUUAUUACUUUUCAAAAGUCAUUUCCUUGCGCAAUACAUUGACAAUAGCAAGACUUUGUGAUAUCAAAUCAGAAGUGUCAGCUGGGUUUAAUAAGCCUUGCAAAAUACAUUUCUAAGUCACUUAAAGCAACAUUACAUAUUUUUUGUAAUCCUUUUUUACAAAAGUGCAGCUUUGUACCCUUUUCUUCUUUGUCGUUAUAGUGAAACAGUUUUCUUAAUAAAAGUACUUGUGCAACCCUCCCUUGGUAGAUAUUUGGACUGUUUCAGAUUUUGGCCACUGUAUAUAGUGUUGUAAUGCACAUUGUUGUGAAUAAAUAUUUACUGCAUCUUAAGUAUUUUUAAAGGAUAAAUUCCUAGUAAAGAAAUUAAAAGUCCCAAAAGGAAUAAGUUUUAAAAAACCUACUCAGAUAUGUGACAUAGAGAUUUUUAGAUAGAAACAGAGCUAUAUAGAGAUAUGAAUAAAAAACUGAACUAUUUCUCAGAAUGGCUGUAUGAAUACUCCCAAACCCACACCAAGCCCAUGUGGAGGUGUGGCAGGUUCCUCCCCACCAGCAACAGUAUGAGGCAGUAGACUUGUAAAAUAGCUGUGAGAAUUUGACAUAGAAAACUUGUCUCAUCAUUCCUUCUGUUUUCCUUUCUGUUACACUGGUAAGGUUGAAUAUUGUCCUUAUAUUUAUUAGC